Manduca sexta (tobacco hornworm) is the source of this 421-nucleotide long non-coding RNA. RefSeq lists it as uncharacterized. The record is from RefSeq and is a predicted model, not a curated record. Lineage: Eukaryota; Metazoa; Arthropoda; Insecta; Lepidoptera; Sphingidae. The transcript has 3 exons.
AAAUAUAGUAUCAAACCAGACCGUACUGGUGCGUUGUGAGUGAACAGAUAUUGGAGAUGUUACUCGUUUUAAAAGUAUUUGUGUUCGUGAUUAUCCGUGUUUUGUGCGGUUAGAUUACAUUUUGAAGUGAAAUUCGCAUUAUUUCAACUGACGUGUGUAAUAAGUGUGAUUAGUGGCAUACAAGUAGCAGUCUCUACAUCGAAUUUGCCCAGAGUCCACGGCCACAACUCAAAGAUACCACGACUGGUGAAGGCAAACAAUGAAAAGCAACAACCAUUAUCCGAUGAGCCUGAGGCCGACGAGUUUGCCGGAGACGUGGAGGAGCCCGACAGCGCCGCGGACUCCGGCACCGACGUCGGACUCCUGGACGACAAUGACGGCCCGCAUGGUAACACAAAUUACAUUCCCUGCCCAUACCCUC